RNAcentral lists this ribosomal RNA (376 nucleotides) under uncultured organism. RNAcentral describes it as "partial 16S ribosomal RNA". It matches the Rfam family "Bacterial small subunit ribosomal RNA", at positions 526 to 897 of the family's 1533-position model. The record is from RNAcentral.
GGGGGGGGGCAAGCGUUGUUCGGGAAUUACUGGGCGUAAAGGGCGCGUAGGCGGACGAGACAGUCUCUCGUGAAAUCCCACGGGCUCAACCGUGGAACUGCGGGAGAUACUACUCGUCUUGAGUUCGGGAGAGGAGUGUGGAAUUCCCAGUGUAGCGGUGAAAUGCGUAGAUAUUGGGAGGAACACCGGUGGCGAAGGCGGCACUCUGGACCGAUACUGACGCUGAGGCGCGAAAGCUAGGGGAGCAAACGGGAUUAGAUACCCCGGUAGUCCUAGCUGUAAACGAUGAGCACUUGGUGUAGCGGGUAUCGACCCCUGCUGUGCCGGAGUUAACGCAUUAAGUGCUCCGCCUGGGGAGUACGGUCGCAAAGGCUGA